Molecule: ribosomal RNA, 468 nt
Filed under: uncultured bacterium
Lineage: Bacteria
Description: partial 16S ribosomal RNA
Rfam family: Bacterial small subunit ribosomal RNA
Source: RNAcentral
GACGAACGCUGGCGGCGUGCUUAACACAUGCCAGUCGAACGGAAAGGCCCUGCUUUUGUGGGGUGCUCGAGUGGCGAACGGGUGAGUAACACGUGAGUAACCUGCCCUUGACUUUGGGAUAACUUCAGGAAACUGGGGCUAAUACCGGAUAGGAGCUCCUGCUGCAUGGUGGGGGUUGGAAAGUUUCGGCGGUUGGGGAUGGACUCGCGGCUUAUCAGCUUGUUGGUGGGGUAGUGGCUUACCAAGGCUUUGACGGGUAGCCGGCCUGAGAGGGUGACCGGCCACAUUGGGACUGAGAUACGGCCCAGACUCCUACGGGAGGCAGCAGUGGGGAAUAUUGCACAAUGGGCGGAAGCCGGAUGCAGCAACGCCGCGUGCGGGAUGACGGCCUUCGGGUUGUAAACCGCUUUCGCCUGUGACGAAGCGUGAGUGACGGUAAUGGGUAAAGAAGCACCGGCUAACUACGUG